This is a long non-coding RNA of Cyprinus carpio (common carp), 4279 nucleotides long. RefSeq lists it as uncharacterized. Lineage: Eukaryota; Metazoa; Chordata; Actinopteri; Cypriniformes; Cyprinidae. The record is from RefSeq and is a predicted model, not a curated record. The transcript has 4 exons.
GUCUAGCUCUAUGUUGUUUGGUUGUAAUGCAACAUAGCAUGUUUUUUUGAAGCUUAUGUGCACAACCUUGCGGACAACUUCCAGAGGUUUCACAAUCAUGACUGUUGCAGUUGGCACCACUUCUUUUAUAUGGGAAGGUGAUCCUUCAGACACAAAAUGAGCAGGUGCAGUUUGUAAAAGCUGAACUUGGAUCAGUGGAUUGUUUUUGUGAUCAUGUAUGAUAUUUACAAUUGACUCAAUCUUUCCAAUGCAACCAUUUCUAAGUUGAACUGUAAAACUGUUGUGUUUGUACGCCUUUCCAUAUUGCUCUGUAGUUAACAGUUGUCCGUUUACAAUGGCUCUGUUAUAUAUCUCUGCAGAGUACUCAUCUUUCUCAGAUAGAUCACAGACUGGAAGCAUUAAGAACUUGUCCUUGUGAUUUAGGACUUUUUGUCGAGAACAUCCCAACAAAACGAGACCUUCCAGCUUCUGUGCCUUAGCAACAAGAGGAUAAACACCUAGCCAGUCAUUGACAAGUUUGUCCACCCUAUUUGAGACAUCAGCGCUAGUCAUCGUUUGUUUCAGUAGUUGAGGAAUUGACUGAAGUAUGUUGAAUUGCCGUGCAAUUUGAGAUGGAAUGUAAUUUGUUCCAUGACACAACCUCUUCAGUUUUUGGUUGUGGUCCUCAAAUGAAAAUGCAGAUGUACACCAAAGAGGUCCAAACAUCUUGACAGAGAAGGGCAAGUGUGUGAGUUGAUGGACAUUGAAGGACAUUUGGCACAAGCCAUAUGUCAUUGGUAUCUCCUGCACAAACUUUGUUAUCUUGAAUGUUGCGGCUGCCAAGUCACUUUCUGUGAUUGUGUCUUUAAGAAAGCAAAAAAUAGCAGUGACUAGAAGUAGCCAAUGUUUCAAAAAUUUUGUUGGAAGAAUCUUGUACAGAACAGGUCCACUGUAGAACAAUAGCCAGCUUCGGCAUUCUGCAGCCUUCCACCUUUGUGCUACUUUCACAGUCCGUGGUACUCUUGGUAUAUCAGAUGGAGGUUUGAUGGAAAGCAGCCUUUGAUCCACAUGCUUAUGUGAUGUACCAAUGUACCAAGGGCUGUCAUGGUACUUGCUAUUGAACCACAAGUCCAAGAAUUGCUUUGUCACUCCCAAGAGAACACAGUGCAUGUAAUCAGUUGGAAAGCUGUCCACAAUGUCAAAACCAGUGGAGGGAUUCAGAAGGACUAAUGGUGAUACUGUCUUCACGCCAUAAACAUGGUCAACAUCAUUCUCAGUGGCCAUCUGCCCACAUUCAAUAACAUGGCCAUGGGUUCUUUUUUGUGCCUCAGUGGGCGGAUAGACUCUGGCAUAUCCUCUUCCCUUUGGCACUGUUUUUCCUUCACUUAAGCAAUGGCCACAUCCAUAUGCACCAUUGAACUGAUGUAUACCUUGAAGCACACAUCGGGCUACUGCGUCACAUGAGCAUACGACAGGGAAAACCUUAGACACCACAAUUGUUUUCGUAUGUGGGUGCUUCCAUUCCAGACCUUGUGAAUUGACUUUUAGAAUGUCAUCCACAAAUUGCUUAAGAUAGGUGGACAUGUCAGGUUUACCACGCCCAAACCAGACACCUGCGAGUAUCAUGUUUUUGAAACGAACAUUUGGGUGGAGUUCAUUGAUUACACAUCUGAUGGGCCACAAUGAGAAAGGUGAAGACUUAAACAUUGGAAUGCCAUCACAGUUCCAUAGUAGUGAUAUGUCAUUAGCUGUGAAAUUAGGGAGAGUUUGAUACAUUUCACCCUUUCUCACAUCAUUUGUUCCAUUUUCUUCUGACUGAAAUGCACACUCUUCUUGUUGUAGAAUGUCUCUUAGCUGGUCCUCAACAGAGAGACUUAUAUAAAAAUUGCCUUCUGCAAUAUUCUUUUGUUGGUCAUUUAUCUCAUUACACUCUGGACAAUUCAUGUUGUUCUUUGAAAGAUGUGACCGGCAAAUUUUGCAGAAAAGGUGAACAUUUAGAGACUCGGAUGGAUCAUGGAAUAGUUUUCGGAAGAGGUGGAGAGACUGUGGCAAUAUGUUGCUACUCGGGAGAAAGACAUUUAAGAGCUUUAAAAGGUCUUCCACAGUACUUGCUGUUAAACUGUGCCUCAGUGAAAAGGACAAGAUUAGAAGUACAGCCUGUGCUACUGUUAUCUCUGAUCCUGUGAAAAGAGGUGUCCCAAAUUUUUCAAAUUGUGAAUUAGAAUCAGAAUUUGUGUCAGCAGUGUCAUCGAUAGCAGAGUCUACUUCUCCCUGAGUGUCACUCCACUCAUAUUCGACAUGGUCCAUUUCAUUAACAGAAUCAUAAAAUUCCUCAUCUUCCUCACUGUCUGCAAGGGAGUCAUUCUGAUGGGUAUCAUCAUCCCAAUUGUAAAGAGGAGUGUUGUUUCUUCGCCAUCGACUUGUCUUUGGAAGAGGACAACUCGAUUCUGGAUCCAAAAACCUGGUAAUAUAAUCAAGUUCUAUUUUAACAUGUGACAGUGCUUUCAAGUAAUAAUAUGGUAAAGUCAUAACAUUUCUUUAACCCUCUGGUACUGUUUAGUUAUUUUUGUGUUUUAGAAAGUUUUACAAUUUUUACUUCAUCGAAAUGGCACACACCUUGGUGACUUUUGUGGCACUUGCUAAAGUAUCAGAAUCACCCAUUUGGGAAAAAUCACAGAGCUAUGAAUGGGGCUGAACUCUGAACCAUUAAGUGUGCAAAACAGAGAGACAGAGUGGGAUUAAGACUAUUUAUUGUAAGUUGAGCUUGGUAAGACACUAGCUGAAACAUUCUAAGAUUUAACUCAACACACUAAAAGUUUCCUUUGACUGAAACAUAUUUAAAUACAUACACACAGAUUUUAAACACCGACUGUAAACACUGACUAAAUGCAACUGGCUCUGACUCAGCAGGUGUGGGCAGUGUCAGUCGUAAGCAUCAGUCACAGUCCGCCUCACAGUCAUUAAAUGCGUCACUGAAAUCAGAUCAUAGCCAGAUAAAUCAAGUUCUGAUCAAGCAUUCCUGUUCAUUUUUGUUAAUUUUGAAUUUUGAUGUUAUAAUCAGAUUACAAAAUGUUUUUACUGUAAUCAUGAUGUAAAAACUGACACUGCAUAUGAACAAUUCUAAAUAAAUAAAUAAAUAAAUAGGCUUCUUGUAGUUCAGAUGAUUUUCUUUAUUUAUUUUCACCAGAUGGCACCUAUGUGCCUCAAUUCAUUGGAUUUUUUAAAGUUUUUACUCCGUGUAUAUAUAUAUAAAGAGAGAGAGAGAGUUUUAUUUUUAUAUAGAUUUUUAUUUAUUUAUUUGUAUUUUCUGUAUUUUUUCUCCGAUGUGCAAACAAUGCAAGUGUGACUAGAGUAAAUGAACAAUGUUAGAGGGUUUAAAAACUUUCUUUACAACAAAAACAAAUAAUCAUAUCAAUAACAAUAUUGUAUAAGACUUACAAUAUCCAUAAAUGUACUCAUUAUUAUUUAAAAUGUAUAUUUCAUUAUUUUUUGAAAUGUAUAAUUUGUAUUGCUUAACGUUAAGCUGUAAAAAUAGGCUACCUUUUGUAAGGACCUCUUUGUCGUGCAUUCAUUUUACUGUAGGGAUAUCUUCUGUUUCAGCUGAAUCAUGUGGUCACUGUUGUGCAAAGAUCAAAUAUGUAUGUAACUUCCUGCAUAACUACUACACUGUGAAUAAUAAUAAUAAUAAUAAUUUCAGAACCUUUCUCAAGUCAACAUUAUAAAAAGAUAAUAAUAAUAAUAAUAAUAAUAAUAAUAAUAAUAAUAUCUAAAAAACAAAACAAAACAAAAAAAACACCGCCCACAACUCACUUGGUAGGCGUGAACAUUUAAUUGCGCGUGCGCAUUCCUUGCUCAAAUUGCAACGGUCGACUCGGAGCCGAAGAGGAGACGACAGGAGUUUCUGAAAGAGCAGCGGUGACAGACAAUUAAAAUGAGGUUCAUGCUGAUACAAUGGAUCGAAGACCCCCCAAAAUGGGAUGUGCUUCCAAUCAAUAAAAUGAUACAUGGCUGCUGUGAAAUUGGUUGUAUAUGUGACGUUUCAUACGAAGAUGAGUCAAGCCCUGCAAAAAUUUUAAACAUUGGAACUAGAUCUGCAAUGCUGAAGCAGCUAAAUACGGUCAUCAACAGGACUGGGCCUAAAGGAAAUGGAGAACAAUUAGGGAGAGGGCAGCGCAAAAAAUACCGCCGAAUACUGUCGGAGAGCUCCAGCAGUGAGGAAUAUGAGUCUGUCAACAAACAGGUUGCUGCAAAGACCAUAAACAGGAUACGAGCCAGAUCUUUUCUACAGCAGUAUAAUCAA